UGGAUGGGAAGAGAGGAGUGUAAUUAUCGGUAAGUUGAACAAUGACAGAGGAGGUGGGAGUCAAGAGGGGCCCCCUCUUCCCGGCAAUGGGGAUGUCAGAGGCUGAGAGGAGAUCCGCAUGUGCCCUCCUCACGUUGAUUUGGCUGUGAUGUUUGGCUGUGAUAAGCACUUUUCCAGGAAGGAGGGCAGAGAGAGAGGAAAGGCUCCGGGUUGUGUGGAGAGGAAUAGAGAGGAGGAAAACAGCAGAGCAGAUCACAAGGAAGAUCAACACACACCGACUGAAAUCUGUUACAGAGGAUAUUCUUUGUUGGUGAUUCUGGGGCUGAAACAGUGGAUGUUCCAUUCCAUGUGGAUGAAGCUCCCUCGUCUUGACCGAGACGUCUCCCGUCUGACAGCGAUGACGCAAGAGGGAGGGUGACAGGUCUCAAGCCUUUAACAAGUCUCUACAUUUAUGCUCCUGUUAGUGAAAGGACAGUGAAGAUAUGACAGGAGGUGAGUGGGAGAGAGAGAUGAGGAGCAGGAGAGAGAGAUGACCUCAGGCCGGACUCAAACCUGGGUCGUCGUGGGCACUGGACCCGUCUGUGGUGUGGGAUACUGAUGCUACCGCUGUGCCAAUGGCUCCCCCUAUGUCCGUGCACUUCAAUGAAACUCAGCUGUACUGAACUU
Long non-coding RNA from Clupea harengus (Atlantic herring), 666 nucleotides. RefSeq lists it as uncharacterized. The transcript has 3 exons. Lineage: Eukaryota; Metazoa; Chordata; Actinopteri; Clupeiformes; Clupeidae. The record is from RefSeq and is a predicted model, not a curated record.